AGUGAACGCUGGCGGUAGGCCUAACACAUGCAAGUCGAACGGCAGCACAGGAGAGCUUGCUCUCUGGGUGGCGAGUGGCGGACGGGUGAGGAAUACAUCGGAAUCUACUCUGUCGUGGGGGAUAACGUAGGGAAACUUACGCUAAUACCGCAUACGACCUACGGGUGAAAGCAGGGGACCUUCGGGCCUUGCGCGAUUGAAUGAGCCGAUGUCGGAUUAGCUAGUUGGCGGGGUAAAGGCCCACCAAGGCGACGAUCCGUAGCUGGUCUGAGAGGAUGAUCAGCCACACUGGAACUGAGACACGGUCCAGACUCCUACGGGAGGCAGCAGUGGGGAAUAUUGGACAAUGGGCGCAAGCCUGAUCCAGCCAUACCGCGUGGGUGAAGAAGGCCUUCGGGUCGUAAAGCCCUUUUGUUGGGAAAGAAAUCCAGCCGGCUAAUACCCGGUUGGGAUGACGGUACCCAAAGAAUAAGCACCGGCUAACUUCGUGCCAGCCGCCGCAGUAA
Molecule: ribosomal RNA, 506 nt
Filed under: uncultured bacterium
Lineage: Bacteria
Description: partial 16S ribosomal RNA
Rfam family: Bacterial small subunit ribosomal RNA
Source: RNAcentral